This 399-nucleotide ribosomal RNA is filed under the name uncultured bacterium. RNAcentral's name for it is "bacterial SSU rRNA". It matches the Rfam family "Bacterial small subunit ribosomal RNA", at positions 8 to 402 of the family's 1533-position model. The record is from RNAcentral.
AGAGUUUGAUCAUGGCUCAGGAUGAACGCUAGCGGCAGGCCUAACACAUGCAAGUAGAACGGUAACAGAGAGAGCUUGCUCUUUGCUGACGAGUUGCGAACGGGUGCGUAACGCGUAUGCAACCUACCCAUAACAGGGGGAUAGCCCAUAGAAAUGUGGAUUAAUACCCCAUAACAUCAUAGAUUGGCAUCAUGAAAUGAUUAAAACUCCGGUGGUUAUGGAUGGGCAUGCGUGACAUUAGCUAGUUGGUGAGGUAACUGCUCACCAAGGCAACGAUGUCUAGGGGUUCUGAGAGGAUGAUCCCCCACACUGGUACUGAGACACGGACCAGACUCCNCCNGGAGGCAGCAGUGAGGAAUAUUGCGCAAUGGAGGAAACUCUGACGCAGCCAUGCCGCGU